AAUCUAGGUCACCGGGUAGGCGGGGCUUGUCUAGGCGCCCCCCGAGUCGGGCCCGGCGCGGCUCUGCCUCGGGGUGAUGAAUCCGCUGCUGACCAGCCCAGCAAAUCCAGCCUUGUUCUAGCAUACAAAAGUCAGGGCCAGCUAGCUCCUUAAAAAGAGCGUUUGUUUCGCAAGAUCCUUUACAAACAUCAACAGUAACUUGAAGCAGUCUGUGUGCGAGCGAGAAAAAGCUGUAAAAAACUGUCCUGAUAGAAUAAAGCCUGGAAUAAAAAGGGUUAAACGUCGCAUCAGCCAGGAAGCCAUCUUGGGGCUGCGGUGGAAUACAAACAACUCUCUUUUCAUCGUGCUUCCUAGCACAGUAGCGUAACUGAAUCUGAAAUAAGAUGCUAAGCCAGUAGCCCAAUAUUUUGUUAACCCUUCUUGCUAUCUUAUCGUCUGAUGAUCUAACAAAUUAAGAACUGCACCUCUGUUGAGCAUCUCAUGUUCAGGACAGCGACAGGAGUGAGUAAAGGCUUGCAGGAACUGAAAAGCAGUGUGCUCUUGCCCACCAGCCUGUUAAAACACUAAAUUAAAAAUAGAUGAUAGAUCUAAAUAAUUAAGGUUAAUUCAGAACCAAGCAAAUAGUGACAAAGUAAAGACAUAGGCCAACUUCAGCCCUGGUUUAGCUCCAUUGAUUUUAGAGAUUAAUUUGGCCUAGAGUUGUUUUUUAGUUUGGGUCCAGAGGAAGGCUGCAGUCAAGAUAACAAAUGUCCUCCUGGGUUCAAGAAGAAAUCUGGAAGGUUUCUACAAGUGGAAGAAAUCAGAAAGUUACAAAAAGAAUUACGUUUAGUUGUUUCCUCUAAUUUGGACUGAAUUGUGGGAGAGGGGAACAGGUUCUUGCUGAGGGGCUGUGAAGCUAAAAUAUGAGACUGCCAUGAUGGGAUGGGGCCUUUAACUCUUGGAUAUACCUUGAAAGAUAGGAGUAAAAACUAAGACUCCAUGCACAUGUUAGGCAGAACUCACCGCUUUUUGAUGGUGCUGGAAACAGAAGCAGAAAUGUGUUUGAAUUUCCUUCAAUAAUGAGUGGUGUUUUUUUUUUCUUCAUUACUCCAUUUUUUCCUGUCUCUUCACAUUACUCUCUUUUCUUUGUUUCUCCAUACCUUUAUUUCCUUUUUUCUGCAUUCCUGUUUUCCUCUAUUCAUACUUUCUCCCUUUUCCCUAACCUCUGUGUACUAGACUUCUCUAUUGUUACCAUUGGUGUACCUCCACUGGUGAGAGCGAUAAUGAAGUUCUUGUUUUAAAAGUCUCACUGAAAUGGCAGAAAUUAAAACACAACAUAACCUUUG
Mauremys reevesii (Reeves's turtle) is the source of this 1325-nucleotide long non-coding RNA. RefSeq lists it as uncharacterized. The transcript is spliced from 2 exons. The record is from RefSeq and is a predicted model, not a curated record. NCBI's taxonomy places the organism in Eukaryota, Metazoa, Chordata, Testudines, Geoemydidae.